Molecule: ribosomal RNA, 496 nt
Filed under: uncultured bacterium
Lineage: Bacteria
Description: bacterial SSU rRNA
Rfam family: Bacterial small subunit ribosomal RNA
Source: RNAcentral
UAUCCACGCCGUAAACGAUGAGUGCUAGCUGUUGGGACCUUAGGUUUCAGUGGCGUCGCUAACGCAUUAAGCACUCCGCCUGGGGAGUACGGUCGCAAGAUUAAAACUCAAAGGAAUUGACGGGGACCCGCACAAGCGGUGGAGCAUGUGGUUUAAUUCGAGGCAACGCGAAGAACCUUACCAGACCUUGACAUGCCUCUCGCGGAUUUCAGAGAUGAUUUCCUUCAGUUCGGCUGGAGAGUGCACAGGUGCUGCAUGGCUGUCGUCAGCUCGUGUCGUGAGAUGUUGGGUUAAGUCCCGCAACGAGCGCAACCCUCAUCCUUAGUUGCCAGCAUUUAGUUGGGCACUCUAAGGAAACUGCCGGGGUCAACCCGGAGGAAGGUGGGGAUGACGUCAAGUCUUCAUGGCCCUUAUGGUCUGGGCUACACACGUGCUACAAUGGUAAUGACAAUGAGCAGCGACCCCGCGAGGGAUAGCUAAUCUCCAAACAUUAUCU